GAUGAACGCUGGCGGCGUGCCUAAUACAUGCAAGUCGAGCGAACAGACGAGGAGCUUGCUCCUCUGACGUUAGCGGCGGACGGGUGAGUAACACGUGGAUAACCUACCUAUAAGACUGGGAUAACUUCGGGAAACCGGAGCUAAUACCGGAUAAUAUAUUGAACCGCAUGGUUCAAUAGUGAAAUACGGUUUUUCUGUCACUUAUAGAUGGAUCCGCGCCGCAUUAGCUAGUUGGUAAGGUAACGGCUUACCAAGGCAACGAUGCGUAGCCGACCUGAGAGGGUGAUCGGCCACCCUGGAACUGAGACACGGUCCAGACUCCUACGGGAGGCAGCAGUAGGGAAUCUGCCGCAAUGGGCGAAAGCCUGACGGAGCAACGCCGCGUGAGUGAUGACGGUCUUCGGAUCGUAAAACUCUGUUAUUAGGGAAGAACAAAUGUGUAAGUAACUAUGCACGUCUUGACGGUACCUAAUCAGAAAGCCACGGCUAACUACGUG
This 497-nucleotide ribosomal RNA is filed under the name uncultured bacterium. RNAcentral's name for it is "partial 16S ribosomal RNA". It matches the Rfam family "Bacterial small subunit ribosomal RNA", at positions 28 to 507 of the family's 1533-position model. The record is from RNAcentral.